Molecule: ribosomal RNA, 373 nt
Filed under: uncultured organism
Description: partial 16S ribosomal RNA
Rfam family: Bacterial small subunit ribosomal RNA
Source: RNAcentral
GUAGGUGGCAAGCGUUGUCCGGAAUUAUUGGGCGUAAAGCGCGCGCAGGCGGUUCUUUAAGUCUGAUGUGAAAGCCCACGGCUCAACCGUGGAGGGUCAUUGGAAACUGGAGAACUUGAGUACAGAAGAGGAAAGGGGAAUUCCACGUGUAGCGGUGAAAUGCGUAGAGAUGUGGAGGAACACCAGUGGCGAAGGCGGCUUUCUGGUCUGUAACUGACGCUGAGGCGCGAAAGCGUGGGGAGCAAACAGGGAUUAGAUACCCUGGUAGUCCACGCCGUAAACGAUGAGUGCUAAGUGUUAGGGGGUUUCCCGCCCCUUAGUGCUGCAGCUAACGCAUUAAGCACUCCGCCUGGGGAGUACGGCCGCAAGGCUG